This 319-nucleotide long non-coding RNA is filed under the name Nicotiana benthamiana. RNAcentral's name for it is "long non-coding RNA (NBEN_LNC010278)". The record is from RNAcentral. Lineage: Eukaryota; Viridiplantae; Streptophyta; Magnoliopsida; Solanales; Solanaceae.
AUACUGGUCGUUCAAGAGGGUAUGGUUUUGUAAGGUUUGGAGACGAUAAUGAGAGGUCGCAAGCAAUGACUGAAAUGAAUGGCGUCUAUUGUUCAAGUAGGCCCAUGCGAAUUGGUGCAGCCACACCACGGAAAUCAUCUGGAUACCUACAACACUAUUCUUCACUAGGUAAAAACUAAUUCUAGGUCUCCUACGUGGCUUUGGUUCUGAAUACCUUUUCGUCUCUGUUUGAUCUGAACAAGUGAAUGCUGAAUCUCUACUGGGUGGAAGGGAAAAAAGGAGAUGUGAUCCUACUUUCUUUUUAUAGUUUUUCUUUUAG